CGCGUUUUACGCCCCGGACAGAAUAUUGGACUGUGGAAAUGGGAAAUACACACCUUAACUUUCUUGUUUCUCUACAAAGCAAACGGGUUUAAAAUUUCUAAAAUUCAUCCUCUAUGACUACUUUUUGUUCGUUCCCCAUCGAGAUAAAAGUCUGAAAUGGGGCCGGAGUUUUAUACAUGGUCAUGGCAUUCAGCACGCGACCUUUGACCACCCAAAUUUUUUCCUCAUUGUCGUUCGACGGCGUCCGGUCUCGUGAAGACACCUUUAUUUCCGGUAACACGAAGUGAACCAAUAGGAGUGCGCUAAAUUUCAAAUUUAAUUUUGGCGCCCAAAACAUAAGUGUUGGGCGGUGACGUCACUGGGCGGACUUUAUUGUGUAUACACAGCAAAUUUUUAUAUAUCGUCAAACGCAGCGAAAAAUGGAGAAGAUGUUUUGUUAGAGCAAUGAAUUUUUGAAUUCUCUUUGUAUAUUUUAUAAGUUAUGUGUAGAAAGAUGGCCAGACAGUGAAUGAUGCCAAGACAGUCGUAUAUUUCCGAAACUGAACAAUUUGCAAGGAUAGAAGGUAAUAUAUUUUGUUAUGUAAAUAUGCGAAGCUUUCUUGCUUUGACAGCUGUGAACGUCAAAAGAAUUGCCCUGUAUUCUUUUGCAGCAUUACUCAAACAGAC
Molecule: non-coding RNA, 666 nt
Organism: Paramuricea clavata
Lineage: Eukaryota; Metazoa; Cnidaria; Anthozoa; Malacalcyonacea; Plexauridae
Source: the annotation of a GenBank genome assembly